GAUGAACGCUGGCGGCGUGCCUAAUACAUGCAAGUCGAGCGAACGGACGAGAAGCUUGCUUCUCUGAUGUUAGCGGCGGACGGGUGAGUAACACGUGGAUAACCUACCUAUAAGACUGGGAUAACUUCGGGAAACCGUAGCUAAUACCGGAUAAUAUUUUGAACCGCAUGGUUCAAAAGUGAAAGACGGUCUUGCUGUCACUUAUAGAUGGAUCCGCGCUGCAUUAGCUAGUUGGUAAGGUAACGGCUUACCAAGGCAACGAUGCAUAGCCGACCUGAGAGGGUAGUCGGCCACCCUGGAGCUGGGACACGGUCCAGACUCCUACGGGAGGAAGCAGUAGGGAAUCUUCCGCAAAGGGCGGAAGCCUGACGGAGCAACGCCGCGUGAGUGAUGAAGGUCUUCGGAUCGUAAAACUCUGUUAUUAGGGAAGAACAUAUGUGUAAGUAACUGUGCACGUCUUGACGGUACCUGAUCAGAAAGCCACGGCUAACUACGUG
Molecule: ribosomal RNA, 497 nt
Filed under: uncultured bacterium
Lineage: Bacteria
Description: partial 16S ribosomal RNA
Rfam family: Bacterial small subunit ribosomal RNA
Source: RNAcentral